UAGGGAAUCUUCCACAAUGGGCGCAAGCCUGAUGGAGCAACACCGCGUGAGUGAAGAAGGGUUUCGGCUCGUAAAGCUCUGUUGUUAAAGAAGAACGUGGGUAAGAGUAACUGUUUACCCAGUGACGGUAUUUAACCAGAAAGCCACGGCUAACUACGUGCAG
Molecule: ribosomal RNA, 163 nt
Filed under: uncultured bacterium
Lineage: Bacteria
Description: partial 16S ribosomal RNA
Rfam family: Bacterial small subunit ribosomal RNA
Source: RNAcentral